RNAcentral lists this ribosomal RNA (253 nucleotides) under uncultured bacterium. RNAcentral's name for it is "partial 16S ribosomal RNA". It matches the Rfam family "Bacterial small subunit ribosomal RNA", at positions 524 to 776 of the family's 1533-position model. The record is from RNAcentral.
UACGGAGGGUGCGAGCGUUAUCCGGAUUUACUGGGUUUAAAGGGUGUGUAGGCGGGCUUUUAAGUCAGUGGUGAAAUCUUCAGGCUCAACCUGGAAACUGCCAUUGAUACUAUUAGUCUUGAAUACUGUGGAGGUGAGCGGAAUGUGUCAUGUAGCGGUGAAAUGCAUAGAGAUGACACAGAACACCGAUUGCGAAGGCAGCUCACUACGCAGUUAUUGACGCUGAGGCACGAAAGCGUGGGGAGCAAACAGG